GUUUCAGCCGCCGCGGUAAUACAGAGGUCUCAACCGUUGUUCGGAUUCAUUGGGCGUAAAGGGUGCGUAGGCGGUCGCGCAAGUCGGAUGUGAAAUCUCGAGGCUCAACCUCGAAACUGCAUUCGAUACUGCGUGGCUAGAGUGCUGGAGGGGAGACUGGAAUUUACGGUGUAGCAGUGAAAUGCGUAGAUAUCGUAAGGAAGACCAGUGGCGAAGGCGAGUCUCUGGACAGCAACUGACGCUGAGGCACGAAGGCCAGGGGAGCAAACGGGAUUAGAAACCCUGGUAGUCC
This 292-nucleotide ribosomal RNA is filed under the name uncultured bacterium. Its description in RNAcentral is "partial 16S ribosomal RNA". It matches the Rfam family "Bacterial small subunit ribosomal RNA", at positions 505 to 796 of the family's 1533-position model. The record is from RNAcentral.